AGUGAACGCUGGCGGUAGGCCUAACACAUGCAAGUCGAACGGCGGCACAGUAAGAGCUUGCUCUUACGGGUGGCGAGUGGCGGACGGGUGAGGAAUACAUCGGAAUCUACUUUUUCAUGGGGGAUAACGUAGGGAAACUUACGCUAAUACCGCAUACGACCUACGGGUGAAAGCAGGGGAUCUUCGGACCUUGCGCGAUUGAAUGAGCCGAUGUCGGAUUAGCUAGUUGGCGGGGUAAAGGCCCACCAAGGCGACGAUCCGUAGCUGGUCUGAGAGGAUGAUCAGCCACACUGGAACUGAGACACGGUCCAGACUCCUACGGGAGGCAGCAGUGGGGAAUAUUGGACAAUGGGCGCAAGCCUGAUCCAGCCAUACCGCGUGGGUGAAGAAGGCCUUCGGGUUGUAAAGCCCUUUUGUUGGGAAAGAAAAGCAGCAGGUUAAUACCCCGCUGUUCUGACGGUACCCAAAGAAUAAGCACCGGCUAACUUCGUG
Molecule: ribosomal RNA, 492 nt
Filed under: uncultured bacterium
Lineage: Bacteria
Description: partial 16S ribosomal RNA
Rfam family: Bacterial small subunit ribosomal RNA
Source: RNAcentral